RNAcentral lists this long non-coding RNA (573 nucleotides) under Mytilus galloprovincialis (Mediterranean mussel). The record is from RNAcentral. Lineage: Eukaryota; Metazoa; Mollusca; Bivalvia; Mytilida; Mytilidae.
CGUCCUAAAUCCUUUCAUAACAUUACCCCCUUGUUAAGUUUGAAAUCUCCUGAUUUCAUUUUUUGCAAAUUGUUUUGAAUAUAACUUUAAAUUUUGAAUCUUUUUAAUUGUGAUUAAUUUAAUUUUUCCUAUGAAUUGUUUUUGCAAUAAAUGAAACACAAAUACACAUUUAUACACAAAAAUAAACAAUGCAUGCACAAUAAAGAAAAUAAUAUAACAAUCAAAUAGUGCCGAUCUUCUUCCGUGGAACAAAAGUCCACCUGCGAAACAUUGGAGAUCUGUCUUUGGAUGUACUCCAACACGCGAAAAUAAGUCAUAUGAAGAUCUGUGUCUUAUGUACUUCAUAUGCAAGUGAAUAAAAUAACAUAUUCUCUCUCUCAUUCUUUGUUAUUUAAACUAUAGUGAUUCAAAUUUAAUCUGAUUGUUAUAGAGUUUUUAUUGAUCAUGUUUUUACUUAUUUUUGUAUUUAUUCACGAAGAUCGGACUCGAUUGUAUGAAUUCCUCCAGUGUUUUUUUCUUAUAAUUUUUACAUAUUUUUUUAUUUUAUUUUAUUUUUUUUAUUUUAUAGAUUUU